This 683-nucleotide ribosomal RNA is filed under the name Brevundimonas sp. B747_2. RNAcentral describes it as "bacterial SSU rRNA". It matches the Rfam family "Bacterial small subunit ribosomal RNA", at positions 85 to 803 of the family's 1533-position model. The record is from RNAcentral. Lineage: Bacteria; Pseudomonadati; Pseudomonadota; Alphaproteobacteria; Caulobacterales; Caulobacteraceae. RNAcentral also lists the same sequence under 2 other names.
UUCGGGGUUAGUGGCGGACGGGUGAGUAACACGUGGGAACGUGCCUUUUGGUUCGGAAUAGCUCCUGGAAACGGGUGGUAAUGCCGAAUGUGCCCUUCGGGGGAAAGAUUUAUCGCCAUUAGAGCGGCCCGCGUCUGAUUAGCUAGUUGGUGAGGUAAAGGCUCACCAAGGCUACGAUCAGUAGCUGGUCUGAGAGGAUGACCAGCCACAUUGGGACUGAGACACGGCCCAAACUCCUACGGGAGGCAGCAGUGGGGAAUCUUGCGCAAUGGGCGAAAGCCUGACGCAGCCAUGCCGCGUGAAUGAUGAAGGUCUUAGGAUUGUAAAAUUCUUUCACCGGGGACGAUAAUGACGGUACCCGGAGAAGAAGCCCCGGCUAACUUCGUGCCAGCAGCCGCGGUAAUACGAAGGGGGCUAGCGUUGCUCGGAAUUACUGGGCGUAAAGGGAGCGUAGGCGGACAUUUAAGUCAGGGGUGAAAUCCCAGAGCUCAACUCUGGAACUGCCUUUGAUACUGGAUGUCUUGAGUGUGAGAGAGGUAUGUGGAACUCCGAGUGUAGAGGUGAAAUUCGUAGAUAUUCGGAAGAACACCAGUGGCGAAGGCGACAUACUGGCUCAUUACUGACGCUGAGGCUCGAAAGCGUGGGGAGCAAACAGGAUUAGAUACCCUGGUAGUCCACGCCGU